This 461-nucleotide ribosomal RNA is filed under the name uncultured bacterium. RNAcentral's name for it is "bacterial SSU rRNA". It matches the Rfam family "Bacterial small subunit ribosomal RNA", at positions 339 to 791 of the family's 1533-position model. The record is from RNAcentral.
GUACGGGAGGCAGCAGUAGGGAAUAUUGCGCAAUGGGCGAAAGCCUGACGCAGCGACGCCGCGUGGGUGAUGAAGGCCUUCGGGUCGUAAAGCCCUGUCGAGGGGGACGAAUCGGUCGCGACCCAACACGUCGCGAUCCUGACGGUACCCCUAAAGGAAGCACCGGCUAACUCCGUGCCAGCAGCCGCGGUAAUACGGAGGGUGCUAGCGUUGUUCGGAAUCACUGGGCGUAAAGCGCGUGUAGGCGGCCUCCCAAGUCUGAUGUGAAAGCCCGGGGCUCACCCCCGGAAGUGCAUUGGAAACUGUGAGGCUCGAGUCCCGGAGAGGAGGGUGGAAUUCCUGGUGUAGCGGUGAAAUGCGUAGAUAUCAGGAGGAACACCGGUGGCGAAGGCGGCCCUCUGGACGGUGACUGACGCUGAGACGCGAAAGCGUGGGGAGCAAACAGGAUUAGAUACCCCGGU